Molecule: ribosomal RNA, 380 nt
Filed under: uncultured Chroococcidiopsis sp.
Lineage: Bacteria; Bacillati; Cyanobacteriota; Cyanophyceae; Chroococcidiopsidales; Chroococcidiopsidaceae
Description: bacterial SSU rRNA
Rfam family: Bacterial small subunit ribosomal RNA
Source: RNAcentral
CGAAAGCCUGACGGAGCAAGACCGCGUGAGGGAGGAAGGCUCUAGGGUUGUAAACCUCUUUUAUCAGGGAAUAAGCAAUGAAGGUACCUGAGGAAUCAGCAUCGGCUAACUCCGUGCCAGCAGCCGCGGUAAUACGGAGGAUGCAAGCGUUAUCCGGAAUCAUUGGGCGUAAAGCGUCCGCAGGUGGUAGUUCAAGUCGAUUGUCAAAGACCGAAGCUUAACUUCGGAAAGGCAGUGGAAACUGAAUAACUAGAGUACGGUAGGGGUAGAGGGAAUUUCCAGUGUAGCGGUGAAAUGCGUAGAGAUUGGAAAGAACACCAGUGGCGAAGGCGCUCUACUGGACCUGUACUGACACUGAGGGACGAAAGCUUAGGGGAGCG